This is a non-coding RNA of Nomia melanderi (Alkali bee), 706 nucleotides long. The record is from RefSeq and is a predicted model, not a curated record. Lineage: Eukaryota; Metazoa; Arthropoda; Insecta; Hymenoptera; Halictidae.
UCAAUUAAACAAUGUAAGCUGGCUUGCUUAGUCUACUUGUGUACUCCACUCUUAUAAAAGUGGAAAGAGAAUGAUUGUAAGGACUUUAAUAUAUACUAUACAAGGAUAAAAUCUAUUUUACUUUAAAUUUAUGUAAUUUACUGUUAGCUAAUAAAAGUAAUUUUAUAUUUAAAAUAACAAGCAAUAAGUAGGUUAAACGUGGAAGCUGAAAUAUAGUAGCAUUGCGUCGUAACUUGAACAAUUCGCAACAUACAGAACCAAGUUAUACAUCAGAUUAGCACCAUCGCUGGAAGUUUCCAUAUUGAAGAUGACCAGACCACAGAGAUAAAAAUUCUCAAACCAAUAAUUUAAUAUUCUUAUGGGUAUAGCCAUUAUUCGUAACAGAACUCGUUAAAAAUUUGACAUUACUAAAUGGCUGUACCUGAAUCAGUGGCCAAAUUUAUUAAUUUUAAUCAAUUUUUAGGUCAUCUUAAGUAUAGUCUACCUCAAGAUGUUUAAUAUAUGUGAGGUUAAAGUCCCAAGCAACAUAAUCUUAGGUGGUCUAAGUCAGACGUAUGAAAGAUGUGUGAACUAAGAAAACACAAUAAAAUUGGCACCCAGGACGGCACAGAGGCAAGAGGAGUCUUUUGAUGUGUGCUUUCUUUAUUCUCACUGUCACAUGAUAGGAUUAGAUGUGCAAUUGUUCUCAAAUUUUGCUAAUUAUAUA